UGCUUGUCCUGCAUCAAACACGUCUGUGUGCCUUCGUGUGGGUUGUCUCUGCAGUGUGGGAAUGCUUUUCCAGGAAGGGCAAUGUCAUCUCUACAAUUUUUACUUGAAAACACAGCAGCAAUCAGAGUAGACUUUCUGUCAGUAGGAGCCGGUGCAGCACUGCUGAAGGCAGUGGGAAUUCCAUGACACCUAUGAAGUCCGACCCAUUAUCCAAGUCCAGCUGGAGGGUGCCGAGCUGAAACAUGUUCUAGUGAAAUAAACAUGUGAAACCGCUGCUGUUGCCAUUGGCAACAUGUUGCGGUUCUACUCAAGCUGUGCUACGCUGGUACUUAGAAAUGAUCUAAAGAAAUCUUGCGUAUCAAAAGUAGUAAAGAGGAUGAAAAUACUUUGAGCCUGCAGCCUUAAACUAUCAGUGUAACUCAUAUAAUUAGCUUUUUCUCACAUAUGUGCUCAUCACUUCAUAAUCCAUUACUACAUUUGUAGCAAAUGACAUCUGUAUUUAUUUUUGUGUCAAAGCUUGAAACUGACAUUUAUGAAAGCUCCAAUGUGACUUUUGCAGUCAUGACUGUAAAAAUGUGGGACAGAAAACUUUAAUCUUGUGCCCACUCUUGAGUCAUUAAAUCAGAUUAUCUUUUCACACUGUUUAUUGGAUAACUCAGGUGGUAACACUUAAGUUUACAAAGGCGACUUGUAAAGCUUUUUGAGAGAGGAAACCUUCACUGUGGUGCAUCAGUGCACUGGUCUGUAGAAACAAUACAGCAGCAAUUCAGUUCACAGAGUGCUGUGAUCAUUUGGGGCUCUGUCUUCUCUUAUUAUGACUUCUCUGAAUUCCUUUAAAAAUUUGCUGGGAUAAUUUUUACUUUGGUCGAAACAAUUAAUCAUGCCACCCCCAAAGCAAAGCAAUUCUGUCCUCUGUUCACACUGUUCCCUUUACUUGUUUGGAUUGAGCAUGCUUAUACUAGCUACUCUGAGAUCUUUUCUAACUUAAAAUGUUCAGAAAUUUGCUUUGAUGCUUCAGGCAUUUUCUGAUUGGGAGCCCCUUUGAUAUGGAAUGAGUCAGGAUUUGCUUCCAAAAUAUUGGGGUAUUUUUCAUGCACCUACUGUCUUGGAAAAUUCUGUACCUGUGAUAUCCAGAAGGCAACUUAUCUACUAGACCUUUUUUAUGCUCUGGUUUGACUUUCAUUUUUCUAUUUCUCAUCUGUGAAUCAUAAUGCUGUAUUAGUGAUGGCCAUUGGUAGUGUUUUGCUUUUCUUUAACUUCUUCCUGGGGACCUGAAUUUCAGUUUUUCCUAUUUCUUGUAUGUGCUAUUAGCAAAAGGAUUUAAAAAAACCCUUUGUUCUUUGUAAACUGCUAAGCAUAGAAUUGCAGAAUUCUCAUCCAAGACUGCUCAGCAGAAGAGUACUGUGCUUAGUCAAGAGAAAAUAGCAUAAAAACUCAUGUUUCCUUGCCAUGGAACAGAACCAGGUCAAGCAUAGCCACACUCCUUAUCACUUGUGCCCGUGGUUCCAGAAUGCAUUCCCUUCUCUGGUUCCAUUCUUGAAGCAGUACUUUGUGUGGCAUUGGACAUUAAUGGAUCUGGGCACUAUGAGGUAAUGCACAACUUUGAGCUGCUGUACUGCAGUGGGAGGAUAUUCAGGCACAUGUUGGUGCUCUUUCUGAUUUUCAGGUUAAAUUGUGGUUUUAUAUAUGUUGCAGAUACCACACACACUUUGUAGUACCAUUCAAUCCUAAAUUGACUGGAUGUUCUCUAAGCAUUACUGGGCUGUUCCUUCUGUGAGAGUGACUUCUACCAGUGUAUUACUUUCUGCUGAAGGAGCUGUUGGAAGUAUUUCCUCUGAACUUCCCUUUCUGUGCCCACUUCUUUAAGAGCAUAUCAAGAAGAGAGACCCCAAUCAUGGAAACACUGAAGGGAGCAUGUAACAGUGAAGUCAGCCUACUUGCAUGGGUAUACACCAGGAUAGUUGCCUCCCAGUCACUUUCUCAUAAACUGCAUUUGUGAGGAAAGGUGGUGUUCAACAGGAGGCAGUGGAAAGGGCAGGAAGGUUGGCUCUGGGUCUGGCAGCAGCACUGCUGCACACAGAGGUCAGUGCAUUGGGAGGAUCACAUCCUUGUGUGGACAGCAGCUUUUGUGGAGUUCCUGUAGGGGAGCAGUGUGUGCUUUUGUGCAGAUGUGGGGAGAGUGUCUGAGGGGAGGCACUGCAGUUAUUAUACUGUCCUCAUAAUCCCAUCUGACCUCUCUCCACCAAAGGAGGAGAAUGGAGGGUGUUCCUCUGUAAGGUCUGUGACCAAGUUAUAGGUGUGUGGUCUUCCCCAAGGACCAUGUUAACCUUGGGACUGCACAAGGGUUGAUUUGCUCCAGUCCAGUAUUGCAUUCCUGUCUGCUGCCCUGCUCCAGAAAAAAAUAACUGCCCUUCAUUGAAAGUUUUUUGCAAAGGCUUCUCAAAAUCACCUGGCAGUAACCCUUUUUGACUGACAGCUGCUGCUCAAACCCCAUGGAGAAGCAGUUUCUUUUCAUUCAGAGUUUCUGCAUGGCACAAUCUUCCCAGGUCCAGGAAAGAGGUCUGGCAGGAGGACAGAGCUGGGCUGCAUAUCUUCAAAUCUCAGAAGCCACAGUCCAUUGGAUACCCAAAUGUGCCCAUCAGUUGUUAGCUUGGAAACAUGUGGGUUCAAUAAAGCAAGGUUUUUCUGCAGCAGUAUUUGAGGUCCUGAUAUGCAGUGUUGUCUCUUCCCUGGCUGCACCCUGUGCACAGGAUGGCUCUUGCUGUGCCUGGCUCAGGGCUGCAUGUGCAGCUGCACGGUCAGGACACAAGCAGGGGAAACCUGUGUCGUCCCUCUGCAAGCAGUUUCCCAGGUCUGUCUUCUUGCUCAUGAACAGCUUUCAGUGUGGUUGGAGGGAACCUCCUUUCUGCACGACUUUGACUGUUGUGUUUGGCUGACAUUGGGUUGGGGGUGCAGAAUUUCACUGUCUGGAGACAGCCAACACAAUGAAGUGACUCUGCUUAUGCGUUGAUAGGAGGCUGUCUUGAGAAAUCUAGUCUGAAAAGGCUGAAUGAGAAUAAUCUCAGAAUUUCGUUCAACUGGGUUAUUGUGCUAUGAAAGAAAAAUGUUAAUUUAGUCCCUCCUGUGGUAGUGCUGGGUCAGUCACAGUGAUUAUCCUGUUUUAAAAAGCACAAAUCACUGAAGGAGAAACAAUGGGCAUUUGUUGUCUCAGAAGCUGCUGGAGUCAAGAGCUGCAAAUUAUAAGAAGCUCUUUUAUUCAGAAAUGUUUUAUAAGGUGUGCUAAAGCUAUGAGCUAGUUAUGAGUAAGUGUUUAUCUGAAAUGUAUCCAGUGAAUUGAGUGUGGUAUAAAGAGGUAUGAAAGGAAUAAUUUAUAUUAAAUUAUUCUAAAAUGUAUAUAUAUUUAAUGUGUUAUUUACUUUUCUACUGUAUAGAUAAUAUUAAAAAUACUAGAAGACAGUAUUUCUUAGAGAGAUAAAUGUUAUUGUUGGUUGCUUUUAUUGGAUACUGCUCUAUAGCUUUUUCCUUUAUGAGACAUGCACCUCUUUGUAUCAUUAUUCAGGAGAAACUUUUGAUUUUGGAGAACAGUGUUUGUCCCAGAGACAAACCUGGGUUUAUUCAAACACUGCGAAUAUUAACGAAAAUGACUUUGUCUUUUCGGCCUGUAUUGUAUUAACCAGUUGCUGUGAUGAACAGAUGUAGAAGGCUUUAUUCAGGACUGGUUAACCAAUGUCUGGGCACCUCCUUUAGUGAGAGUUUAGAUUUAAGGAGAUUGAGUAAGUACUCUAGAAAUGCUACUCCUGUGGUUUCUUGGGAUUUUUUAGCCUGAGGGACGUUUAUAUAUGUGAAUAAGUAAAACAGCUUCAAUGAGUUCCUUCCUUUGGAGUAACUUUUGAGUUACUUCCUGUAUGCUAUUUAAAAGAGAACAAAACCCUGUGGUAGAAGGAGGUAGCAAGACUUGUGGAUGUUUCUACAUCCACAUUCUUCACCAACUAUGUAUUAGCUUCUUCAGAAUAAAUUUAAGUUCCAUUAAAAAGGGAGACAAUUCACAUCUGUUAUGGCAACUUCAUUACAUAUCUGUGCUUUUCUGGGGACACUCAGUAAAGGAGUAAGAGAAAUUAACUGGGAAAGAAUUUAAAAAGUGCUAAAAAGAAGGGAAGUUAAAAGAGAAUGAUGCAGGCAAUGGCUGUAUUGAAUGUUAUAGUUUUUUUCUCUUCAGCUCGUGUUUCUCACUGUUAGAAAUUGCAUGGAUGAGAGCAAAAUCAAAGAAAUAGGCUUAGGGAUAAUGGAUGCCUAUGUGAAAUAUUUCCUUUCCUGAGCAUGCCACGUACACAAAGCAGACACUGACCAGUACAAUGGAGACCUGAGUUAGGAGUAAAUUGUGUCUGGUCCAGAACUAACACUAAGGAAGAUGCUGAAUAGAGAGAGAACUGUUUCCCACAGGCUUUGGCAUUAGACCCUCCAGGUGCUGAUUAAACAGUAUCUUCUGUUACUCUUAAAAUAGCACCUGCUUUAUAUUUAUAUUUUUAUUUAUAUUUGUUUUAUUUAUGUAUAACAGAGAACAUAGAAGAGGGGUAUGGGAGGUGAGGGACAUUUAAUUCAAACAAACAAAGAAAAAACCCCCAAUAUAGUUUUGUGGAUUCAAAUCAUCUGACCCAACUAAGAAGCAGGUUUUCAUUGCAUAAAACACUGUGCAGACAAUCAUAGGGACUAAAUUAUGAAAGAGAAGGUAGUUCUCAAGGGACUAGUUAGGACCCAAAAGUUAAAUCUGGGACCCUGGUAAAUAGAGAAAUUAAGGUCUUAAGUAUGAGCCAGAACUACACUGGGUAAGUGUAAAAUUAUUAGCUAUACUUAAAAGUGGGUUGUACUUAGAGUUGUAUGUAGCCAAUUCCUUAGUUUUACUGCCUUUCCUAUUGCACUAAGUUAAUCAGAACUGUCACUGUGCUUACAAAUUACCUAUUUUAAACUAUACAUAUAAUUUACUGUAGUUUUGUGAUUGUAUCCUUUUGUCUUCUUAAGUGCUCUUCUUUACUUAGAUUCUUAGUUUUCAUUGUGGACCUACAAGUGUUGUCAUUGCUUCUGUGGCCAGCAUUCAUAGUUGUGUGGGGAAGUUUUGCUUUGCUGACAUUUCCUCUUCUGCUCCUGGCACUGAUCAGCUGGUUGCUAUUGUCCUUUAUCAUGGCUUUUAUGUAAAAUAUUCCAGGUUUUUCAUUUCUGGACUUUGCAUACACAUCCAUGUUUGCAUAAUAGUGAACAAUUUUCAUGACUGGAUGGAUGAGGUUUUUGUAUAACUGUAAGGCUUACUACAAAUACCUUGUCUUCUCUCUUCACCUUUUCAUUUGUAGUUCUAUUAGGCAACAGGAACAUCAGAUUCUCUUCCCAAAUCUGCCUGUUUUAAGGCUAAGAGAUUAAAGAAAGUAGUCUGUAGUCCUCAGAAAGUUUCUAAUUUCUUCUCCCUUGAAAGUGUUACUACAUCAGGAAAAUAAACAGGCUUGGUCUCAGUGCACUCAGGAUGAGGGCAGAGUCCUGUCAGCAUGUGAACAGAUGGACUAAAGCUUUUGUUCUGAUCCUAGGAAUUAAGUGGUUUCUUUUCUCUUCUCCAGACCCUCUUUUCAUUUGGAGCAGACCUGUGAUCGAUGCCCCAGGUUCAAGGGCCUGCACUUUCUGCUUGACUCUCUGUAGAUCUGUGGCCUGUGGGUGGCUGUGCUGGGUCAGCACUGCAGUCACCUCUGUGCUCGCCUGCUGUGUCACCCUAGAGCUGUUCUCAAGAUCUGCACCAGCACAAUAUGAGGCUCCAAAGACAAUUCUUUGUGCCCUGUACACUCAACACAUCUGAGAAUUUCAGGAACUGAAGGACGGGACAGAUGGAAAAAUCCAGGAGGGAGACCUUCCUUCCCUCAGCCUCCCAGUGGUUCUGAGAGCAUGGGCAGCAGUAUCCACUUCCAUUAAGCAUCUCUAAGGUUGUAGCACAGUGUGGACUGCUAAAGUUCUUGCACAUAUUGAACCUUUCUCAUUUCUCUUCCCCUGGCACCUCAUCCCCUCAGUUCAAAAAGCAAAUUCAAAGCAAAUUACUUCAAACCAAAAACAUUCAUCUUUUGCAAAUAGUUCAAGGCUUCUGUAUAGUAAUAGGAAUAAAGCUCUGCUGGCAUGUUUAAUGAGUGCUCUCUCGGUAGGUGCUUUUCUCUGUGCCCUGAGAAUUUGAAUUACAAGAGAAAAUUUAUUGUACUUCUGCUACAAAACCAUUCUAUUAAGUUUAGGUGCUCCAUCGUCCUCUGGCAAGGAAGUGUCAUGCAAGGUAUUUUGUGUAGAUAAGGUGAGGUCAAGGCACAAAAGGUGGGAAUUAAGCUUGUCAUGAAGACACCUGAGAGAUGAAAGUUUUCUUAAAAUGUUGUCUUCCUCUGUUACCCAACAGAUUUGGGAACAAAAGUCCUUCAGUUCUUCUUCAGAAUGUCAGAAUGUCCAGCAUCUGUAUUGUUUUGUUAGAGUUCACCACAGCUAAUUGUGUAAGUGGGUAAAGUUAUCUGUUUAUGUGGUUGUAGAGGUGUCUCCCUCAGUGAGUAGGGCUGAGUGGAAUUAGAAAUAUAGAAUGGAAGUAAACUGAGAUUUGAGUUUAAAGAAAUAUAGGUUGAGAUGCAAGGAUGCAAACAGCCAUAGUGCUAACACUGACUGUGAUGAAGAUCUGUAAAAUCAGCAGAGUGGUGAGCAAUUUAAGUAGUUAACAGAUAAGCCAGAACAGAAGAAUAAAAGACAUCAAAGCACCUUAGCUCAGGAAGUGACUUUGCAGGGUGGCUCAGAAACACUGCUAAGAAGAAUUGGGUAGAGAAUGGGAGUCAGGCAGAUGCGAGUGGGUCGACUACAGAGAUUUUCUGUUUCAGCUUUGACCUGUAAUGGUGUGUUUGGUCCUCUGCUCCUCAGACACAGAGGGACAAGCAAACAGAAGAAGAGUGGGAAGUGCAGAGACUGACAUACUGAAUGAUAUGCCCAGAAACUGAGAUGGGGGGAAAGCGUUCACAGUAUUCUUGAGUGGAAUGUAGAAAGAAAAGAAUCUUGAUAGUAGAAAAACCUGUUUCAACAAGGCUGAAAGUUAGGGUUUUAAUUUGUUCUGGGGAGGAUGGCUAGAAAUGAUAUAUGUCUACACAUAAGGGAAUUACAUGCCUAGCCAAAUGUCUUGGCAUUGUCAGGCAAGCUUUCAGGGUAGUUGUGGAAGCCUUGUCCUGUUAGAUACUAAGUCUUAUAUUAGAGAAUUUCCUGAAACAGGAUUCAUAGUGUACAAGGCAGCAGAUAGCAAGAGUUUAGGAAUGAAUAUAGGCUAGAGGAUAUCUAUCCUUGUUGAACUGCAAAAACCCUACUUUUGCUGAAAUUUUAAGAUUUGCUUCAUGCUACUGUGUGUGGGAUGUGAUCAUGAUGCUUUUAUUUCCUCCCUACAGCAUUCAGUUCUGCCUACAGCAGGGCUUCAAAGCUCUGCAGCCACUGUGGGUCAGUGGCAGUACGGGAAGUGGCUCAGAAAGGGUUGGUUUGUGGUGGCACCUGGUGACAAAGCAUAGCUUUGCUUCCCACUGGGCUUUGCUUUGAAAAGCAGCACAGAGGUGUAUGCUGUGUCACUGUCACCAAUAACUUCACUUCUGCACCUCUGUGUGUACAUGAGCAUGCAGCUCAGAAGGAAAGUGAUAAACCUGGCAUUUCAGAUGAAGAACUAGGUGGUGACAUACCUUCAUAUAGAGCUUGCAAGAGGUUAUUUCAUAGAAUCAAUAAGGUUGGAAGACACCUCUACUACCAGGUCUGCCAUUAUUUCCUUACUAAGUGUUAAGGUGUUUUGGAGGAGAAUGGAAGCUUUGUUCUUGCAAAUAUCUGUAAUUUCUUUCCAGACAGUAAUCUGGACUUUGUCCCUGCGUGAUCACUCUUAUUUUACCCUUUGGU
Non-coding RNA from Sturnus vulgaris (Common starling), 7914 nucleotides. NCBI's taxonomy places the organism in Eukaryota, Metazoa, Chordata, Aves, Passeriformes, Sturnidae. The record is from RefSeq and is a predicted model, not a curated record.